Molecule: ribosomal RNA, 433 nt
Filed under: uncultured bacterium
Lineage: Bacteria
Description: partial 16S ribosomal RNA
Rfam family: Bacterial small subunit ribosomal RNA
Source: RNAcentral
AACGAACGCUGGCGGCAUGCCUAACACAUGCAAGUCGAACGAGAACUUCGGGUCUAGUGGUGCACGGGUGCGUGACGCGUGGGAACCUGCCCUUAGGUUCGGAAUAACUCCCCGAAAGGGGUGCUAAUACCGGAUAAUGUCUUCGGACCAAAGAUGUAUCGCCUUUGGGUGGGCCCGCGUUGGUUUAGCUAGUUGGUAGGGUAAAAGCCUAGCAAGGCGACGAUGCAUAGCUGGUCGGAGAGGAUGAUCAGCCACGCUGGAACUGAGACACGGCCCAGACUCCUACGGGAGGCAGCAGAGGGGAAUAUUGGACGAGGGGCGAAAGCCUGAUCCAGCAAUGCCGCGUGAGUGAUGAAGGCCUUAGGGUUGUAAAGCUCUUUUACCCGGGAUGAUAAUGACAGUACCGGGAGAAUAAGCUCCGGCUAACUCCGUG